AUCAACUUUCGAUGGUAGGAUAGAGGCCUACCAUGGUGGUAACGGGUAACGGGGUGUUAGGGCACGACACCGGAGAGGGAGCCUGAGAAACGGCUACCACAUCCAAGGAUGGCAGCAGGCGCGCAAAUUACCCAAUCCCGACACGGGGAGGUAGUGACAAUAAAUAACAAUACGGGGUUCUUUCGGAUUUCGUAAUUGGAAUGAGUACAAUUUAAAUCUCUUAACGAUCAACAAUUGGAGGGCAAGUCUGGUGCCAGCAGCCGCGGUAAUUCCAGCUCCAAUAGCGUAUAUUAAAGUUGUUGCAGUUAAAAAGCUCGUAGUUGAAUUUCGGGAUCAGUAGGUUGGUCAUGCCUCUGGUAUGCACUGGUCUCACUGGUUCCUCCUUCCUGAUGAACCGUAAUGCCAUUAAUUUGGUGUUGCGGGGAAACUGGACUGUUACUUUGAAAAAAUUAGAGUGUUUAAAGCAAGCUAACGCUUGAAUACAUUAGCAUGGAAUAAUGAAAUAGGACGAUCGAUCCUAUUUUGUUGGUUUCUAGGAUUGACGUAAUGAUUAAUAGGGAUAGUUGGGGGCAUUAGUAUUCAAUUGUCAGAGGUGAAAUUCUUGGAUUUAUUGAAGACUAACUACUGCGAAAGCAUUUGCCAAGGAUGUUUUCAUUAAUCAAGAACGAAAGUUAGGGGAUCGAAGACGAUCAGAUACCGUCGUAGUCUUAACCAUAAACUAUGCCGACUAGGGAUCGGAUGAUGUUAAUUUUAUAAUGACUCAUUCGGCGCCUUACGGGAAACCAAAGUGUUUGGGUUC
This 799-nucleotide ribosomal RNA is filed under the name uncultured Glomeromycotina. RNAcentral's name for it is "SSU rRNA". It matches the Rfam family "Eukaryotic small subunit ribosomal RNA", at positions 314 to 1114 of the family's 1831-position model. Lineage: Eukaryota; Fungi; Glomeromycota. The record is from RNAcentral.